UACGGGGGGGGCAAGCGUUGUUCGGAAUUACUGGGCGUAAAGGGCGCGUAGGCGGCCUGCUAAGUCGGACGUGAAAUCCCUCGGCUCAACCGAGGAACUGCGUCCGAUACUGGUGGGCUUGAAUCCGGGAGAGGGAUGUGGAAUUCCAGGUGUAGCGGUGAAAUGCGUAGAUAUCUGGAGGAACACCGGUGGCGAAGGCGGCAUCCUGGACCGGUAUUGACGCUGAGGCGCGAAGGCUAGGGGAGCAAACGGG
This 253-nucleotide ribosomal RNA is filed under the name uncultured bacterium. Its description in RNAcentral is "partial 16S ribosomal RNA". It matches the Rfam family "Bacterial small subunit ribosomal RNA", at positions 524 to 776 of the family's 1533-position model. The record is from RNAcentral.